This 304-nucleotide long non-coding RNA is filed under the name Homo sapiens (human). RNAcentral's name for it is "HSALNT0154364". The record is from RNAcentral. Lineage: Eukaryota; Metazoa; Chordata; Mammalia; Primates; Hominidae.
AAAUGUGGUAGUGGCCUGAGGCCUUGGGGCUGAAAGAGCCCGGGGUCUGAAAUCAUCAGAAUUGUCUCCAGAUGAAUUGAAACUGAGAUGGAAAGCAGCAUAUGACUCAUCGUGGGUCCAGGAUAGGCCAUAUCACUUCCUGGAAAGUUCUGUCCAUUCCCAUGCUCCCAUGGACAACUGAGAGUGAGGACAUAAGGUGAUUGGGAUAAGAUCUUGAUAUUGUAGGAAAAAUGGUGAAUGACUUUGAAAUGGACCGAAAAGAUGACUGGGUGUCUUCAUCAGAAAACUAGGUGUUUCUAUGGGG